ACAAGCUUUCGGGAGAACCUCCCUUUCUCAAGUCUGAAGCAUUUCGAGAAAGGGAGGUUCUCCCGAAAGCUUG
Molecule: microRNA precursor, 73 nt
Filed under: Pelobates cultripes (western spadefoot toad)
Lineage: Eukaryota; Metazoa; Chordata; Amphibia; Anura; Pelobatidae
Source: RNAcentral